Molecule: transfer RNA, 116 nt
Filed under: Clostridia bacterium
Lineage: Bacteria; Bacillati; Bacillota; Clostridia
Also listed under: 1 other name
Description: tRNA-OTHER
Rfam family: tRNA
About the family: Transfer RNA (tRNA) molecules are approximately 80 nucleotides in length. Their secondary structure includes four short double-helical elements and three loops (D, anti-codon, and T loops). Further hydrogen bonds mediate the characteristic L-shaped molecular structure. tRNAs have two regions of fundamental functional importance: the anti-codon, which is responsible for specific mRNA codon recognition, and the 3' end, to which the tRNAs corresponding amino acid is attached (by aminoacyl-tRNA synthetases). tRNAs cope with the degeneracy of the genetic code in two manners: having more than one tRNA (with a specific anti-codon) for a particular amino acid; and 'wobble' base-pairing, i.e. permitting non-standard base-pairing at the 3rd anti-codon position.
Source: RNAcentral
GCAGAUGUGGUGAAACGGUAACACGACUGCGGACGCAUAAUUGUCAAGCUUUUGUAUUCGGCUUAUGCAAUAGAGCGCCUGCCGUGAUUCUGCAGGUUCGACCCCUGCCAUCUGCC